GUCUCUCUCGCUGGCUUUUUUAAAAUGAGGAACCGCUCCUUGAAUGUUCUGGACAGAGCACAGAAUUGCUUCUUAAGUCAGCCCGGCGCGGUUGCAAUAGACAGCAAAAAGGUAAACGUUUGCCUGAAAUCCGCACGCCAGCUCCACCACCCCGCCCGAUGGUCCCGGUUCCUCUGGGAAUCGUCCUGUAUGCAACAUCUUCACAAGGGUGGCAGGCAGUUGAAUCUCUGGACUUCGUGAGACCACUGGACAUUUGGCAGAGAACCAGGAAGCCACGGUUCCCUUCUGUGAGUCCCUCAGCCGGAAAACUACAAGCUCCUGAUGCAGCUGCUGUCUGCAGACCCCCUAGACUGCCUGGGGAAGUGAGUCGGAGCUCCUGCAGCAGAGGGGUGGAACAGCUACACGAAGAUCCGAAGGUGGCCAAAAAUAACAGCGCUUUCCAGAUGAGGGAGCCAGUUGUCCAGCACAGUGUCAUGGGACAGUGGGUCCUGGUGCCACAAUGCCCGGCAUCUCCA
Molecule: non-coding RNA, 515 nt
Filed under: Pongo abelii (Sumatran orangutan)
Lineage: Eukaryota; Metazoa; Chordata; Mammalia; Primates; Hominidae
Source: RNAcentral